CCCUUUGAUACUCUGGGCGGUACGCGCGCUACAAUGGAUAACUUAACGUGUUACAUCCGAAAGGAUGUAUGCAAAUCACAAAUGUUAUGUCUCGAGUGGGAUAGUUUACUGCAAUUAUAGACUUGAACUAGGAAUCCCUUGUAGGUACACUGAAGCAUAGUGUACCGAAUACGUCCCUGCCGUUUGUACACACCGCCCGUCGUUUCUUCCGACUGAUACUCAUUGUGAAUUGCGGGGAUAACGUUGUUUAAAACCGUUGUAAAUGCUGGGUAUUGGAGGAAGAAAAAGUCGUAACA
Molecule: ribosomal RNA, 296 nt
Filed under: uncultured eukaryote
Lineage: Eukaryota
Description: partial 18S ribosomal RNA
Rfam family: Eukaryotic small subunit ribosomal RNA
Source: RNAcentral